This 1047-nucleotide ribosomal RNA is filed under the name Pseudomonas aeruginosa. RNAcentral describes it as "bacterial SSU rRNA". It matches the Rfam family "Bacterial small subunit ribosomal RNA", at positions 36 to 1067 of the family's 1533-position model. Lineage: Bacteria; Pseudomonadati; Pseudomonadota; Gammaproteobacteria; Pseudomonadales; Pseudomonadaceae. The record is from RNAcentral.
CUGGCGGCGGCUACACAUGCAGUCGAGCGGAUGAAGGGAGCUUGCUCCUGGAUUCAGCGGCGGACGGGUGAGUAAUGCCUAGGAAUCUGCCUGGUAGUGGGGGAUAACGUCCGGAAACGGGCGCUAAUACCGCAUACGUCCUGAGGGAGAAAGUGGGGGAUCUUCGGACCUCACGCUAUCAGAUGAGCCUAGGUCGGAUUAGCUAGUUGGUGGGGUAAAGGCCUACCAAGGCGACGAUCCGUAACUGGUCUGAGAGGAUGAUCAGUCACACUGGAACUGAGACACGGUCCAGACUCCUACGGGAGGCAGCAGUGGGGAAUAUUGGACAAUGGGCGAAAGCCUGAUCCAGCCAUGCCGCGUGUGUGAAGAAGGUCUUCGGAUUGUAAAGCACUUUAAGUUGGGAGGAAGGGCAGUAAGUUAAUACCUUGCUGUUUUGACGUUACCAACAGAAUAAGCACCGGCUAACUUCGUGCCAGCAGCCGCGGUAAUACGAAGGGUGCAAGCGUUAAUCGGAAUUACUGGGCGUAAAGCGCGCGUAGGUGGUUCAGCAAGUUGGAUGUGAAAUCCCCGGGCUCAACCUGGGAACUGCAUCCAAAACUACUGAGCUAGAGUACGGUAGAGGGUGGGUGGAAUUUCCUGUGUAGCGGUGAAAUGCGUAGAUAUAGGAAGGAACACCAGUGGCGAAGGCGACCACCUGGACUGAUACUGACACUGAGGUGCGAAAGCGUGGGGAGCAAACAGGAUUAGAUACCCCUGGUAGUCCACGCCGUAAACGAUGUCGACUAGCCGUUGGGAUCCUUGAGAUCUUAGUGGCGCAGCUAACGCGAUAAGUCGACGCCCUGGGGGAGUACGGCCGCAAAGGUAAAACUCAAAUGAAUUUGACCGGGGCCGCACAGGGUGAAAGACAUGGGUGGGGUUAUAAUUCGAAGCAACGCGAGAACCUUACCUGGCCUUGACAUGCUGAGACUUCACAGAAAAAGAGAGUGUGUGGCCUCUCGGGGAAUCAUAACACCAAGUGCUUGCAUGGGCUGUCGUCAGCCUGCGCGG